CGGAAGUCUAGAUAGUGAUGAUUUUAUAUUUUUUAUAUUUCUUUAGAGAUUUCAAGAAGUUUUGAAUUUUUUAAACUUUCAAUACUAUUAAACAAGCUUAAGUUAUAUUUUUGGACUCUAUUAGUCUACUACAUAUCUUGAAACUUUUUUUUUACAAAAAUUAUAAAAGUUCAAUGAGAUUAUGACCCUUUAAUUUUAUAUUAAAUAUUUUAUUUUACUUAAAUUUUAGUUAAUUAGUGAUAACAUUGUGUAUUCAUG
This 258-nucleotide long non-coding RNA is filed under the name Gossypium barbadense (sea-island cotton). Its description in RNAcentral is "long non-coding RNA (GBAR_LNC005659)". Lineage: Eukaryota; Viridiplantae; Streptophyta; Magnoliopsida; Malvales; Malvaceae. The record is from RNAcentral.